UUUUGUUGACAUGCAAGUCUUUUUUUCUCUUGCGUGAGUCUUAUAGCACUUCACAUCAGAUUGAGCCAAUGCUGGUAUAAAGAAUAGUUAUGCCAUGCCAGUUAUGAUUUUUUUCCUGCUGUGCUAUUGUUUACUAUAGAAGAUUGAAAUGAAAAACCAAACCUAGUGAAUCUAAUGAGUAGUGGUUCGUUUAUCAGGAUGCCAUAAUUUUGCUCCUGGUGUGUUCAACUCCUCGCACAACUCCUUAUUGCAACCUUGAACAAUAGCCCCGGGUUCAGAUUUAAACUCCUAAGUUCCUCUGGGUGGAUUUCACUCCCUCUGGGUAAGCUGCCAUAUCAGUUAAGUGAGAGGUCGCAGCAUUGCCAGAUUCAUUGCUGACACAUCAUCACCGCCACCUAUUGGAACAACAAGGUGAAAUCACUGGAGUUCGUCAUCUCGCUCAAGCUACUGCAUGCUCCUGUGUAUCUCACUUCACCCUCGUAUUUGCGGCAGUCAAGCACUGCUCUUGUGUCAGCGCUCUCCACUUGUGCGUGCGGAACCUCUACUCCCUCACGUUACCCGGGGCUGCAUGCGGAGUCCUACCCCCCUUCCACUGCUGUGCUGAAGCUCUCUCUCUCUCUCUCUCGGCCAUGAUGAUGCCCUCUCGACUAGGGUUCUGAUACAGCGAAGGGAAAAAGUAACUUGAUUUGGGAGUAAAAAGAGAGCACGAGGAGAACGAGCCUGUCUAAUCUGCAAUGCUGACAUGGUGAUGACGUUGUAGUGUGGCAGUGGCUCACCUUAAACUGACGUGGCAGCUUACUUAGCCUGUAGCUGGAGUCAAACCCCACCUAACCCAGGAUUUGAUGGGCAUGAAGACUUUGAGGGCCCAAGUUAAAACAAUUAGGGUUGGAAGUUGAAAUUUGAAAUCUAAACUUGGGCAAGAUUUCAUGGUUGAAAGAUGGAUACCACUCACACUGUUCAGAAAAAGUCGAGGCUAAGAAAGAUUUUGGGGUUUAGACCCAAGGUUUAAACACUGGAAGGAGAGUGGUCAAGGAAAAAUAUAUUCUGGUGUCAAGUCUAGUUCAAGAGUUAGUCCUAGAGAAUAAAGCGAACAAAUGGGCCACUAGUCAGGCCACACAACUACCAUCCAUUACCGUUCUGGUUUUUUUUCCUGGUUGAAUGGGUUUCACAAUCGUUUGCUAUGUUAGACCCGGCUCUAGUAAUUUUCUUAGACUCCUGGUCAUGCUCUAACUCCGCCCCUGGCUUACAAAUUCAUCAGUAUAGCAAAUGUAGAAGUUAUCUUGAACAGAGUUUCAUCUUUUUGACGGUGUAUGAUAUUUUUGCCAUGUUUUCAUCGAAUAUGCUUAAAUUCCAA
This is a long non-coding RNA of Hordeum vulgare subsp. vulgare (domesticated barley), 1354 nucleotides long. RefSeq lists it as uncharacterized. The record is from RefSeq and is a predicted model, not a curated record. The transcript is spliced from 2 exons. NCBI's taxonomy places the organism in Eukaryota, Viridiplantae, Streptophyta, Magnoliopsida, Poales, Poaceae.